ACCAAAAUGUGUGUGUAAAUGUUA
RNAcentral lists this non-coding RNA (24 nucleotides) under Arabidopsis thaliana (thale cress). Lineage: Eukaryota; Viridiplantae; Streptophyta; Magnoliopsida; Brassicales; Brassicaceae. The record is from RNAcentral.